RNAcentral lists this ribosomal RNA (153 nucleotides) under Beauveria brongniartii. Its description in RNAcentral is "5.8S ribosomal RNA". It matches the Rfam family "5.8S ribosomal RNA". From Rfam's summary of the family: 5.8S ribosomal RNA (5.8S rRNA) is a component of the large subunit of the eukaryotic ribosome. It is transcribed by RNA polymerase I as part of the 45S precursor that also contains 18S and 28S rRNA. The record is from RNAcentral. RNAcentral also lists the same sequence under 1 other name. Lineage: Eukaryota; Fungi; Ascomycota; Sordariomycetes; Hypocreales; Cordycipitaceae.
CAAAACUUUCAACAACGGAUCUCUUGGCUCUGGCAUCGAUGAAGAACGCAGCGAAAUGCGAUAAGUAAUGUGAAUUGCAGAAUCCAGUGAAUCAUCGAAUCUUUGAACGCACAUUGCGCCCGCCAGCAUUCUGGCGGGCAUGCCUGUUCGAGC